GAUGAACGCUGGCGGCGUGCCUAAUACAUGCAAGUCGAGCGAACGGACGAGAAGCUUGCUUCUCUGAUGUUAGCGGCGGACGGGUGAGUAACACGUGGAUAACCUACCUAUAAGACUGGGAUAACUUCGGGAAACCGGAGCUAAUACCGUAUAAUAUUUUGAACCGCAUGGUUCAAAAGUGAAAGACGGUCUUGCUGUCACUUAUAGAUGGAUCCGCGCUGCAUUAGCUAGUUGGUAAGGUAACGGCUUACCAAGGCAACGAUGCAUAGCCGACGUGAGAGGGUGAUCGGCCACACUGGAAGUGGGACACGGUCCAGACUCCUACGGGAGGCAGCAGUAGGGAAUCUUCCGCAAUGGGCGAAAGCCUGACGGAGCAACGCCGCGUGAGUGAUGAAGGUCUUCGGAUCGUAAAACUCUGUUAUUAGGGAAGAACAUAUGUGUAAGUAACUGUGCACAUCUUGACGGUACCUAAUCAGAAAGCCACGGCUAACUACGUG
This 497-nucleotide ribosomal RNA is filed under the name uncultured bacterium. RNAcentral's name for it is "partial 16S ribosomal RNA". It matches the Rfam family "Bacterial small subunit ribosomal RNA", at positions 28 to 507 of the family's 1533-position model. The record is from RNAcentral.